CAGUAGCCGCGGGAAAACAGAGGGUGCAAGCGUUAAUCGGAAUUACUGGGCGUAAAGCGCGCGUAGGUGGUUUGUUAAGUCGGAUGUGAAAUCCCCGGGCUCAACCUGGGAACUGCAUCCGAAACUGGCAAGCUAGAGUAUGGUAGAGGGUAGUGGAAUUUCCUGUGUAGCGGUGAAAUGCGUAGAUAUAGGAAGGAACACCAGUGGCGAAGGCGACUACCUGGACUGAUACUGACACUGAGGUGCGAAAGCGUGGGGAGCAAACAGGAUUAGAUACCCCUGUAGUCCCUGUCUCUUAUAC
RNAcentral lists this ribosomal RNA (301 nucleotides) under uncultured bacterium. Its description in RNAcentral is "partial 16S ribosomal RNA". It matches the Rfam family "Bacterial small subunit ribosomal RNA", at positions 509 to 807 of the family's 1533-position model. The record is from RNAcentral.